This is a long non-coding RNA of Juglans microcarpa x Juglans regia, 1839 nucleotides long. RefSeq lists it as uncharacterized. The record is from RefSeq and is a predicted model, not a curated record. NCBI's taxonomy places the organism in Eukaryota, Viridiplantae, Streptophyta, Magnoliopsida, Fagales, Juglandaceae. The transcript has 3 exons.
AGCAUGAUUGUACACCCUCCCACAUCUGUCUUUUUCCAACCUAAAAAUCAAUCACAACCCCACAUCCCAAAGAGGGCUAUUCCACUCUCUUAUAUGCAAAUCAAACCAUAAUCAUUUGGAGAUAACCCACACAUUAACAACAUAAAAAAAAAAAAAAUCUUAUCCCUCUCAUCAUGCUUCCACCAUUUCCUUUGUUUGUUCUGAUGCCAAUCCAAAACCCACAUAGCUCUAAGGCCGGUCAUGGUAUCUAUAAGUAGAAACGGUAUGGAGAGGUAGAGUUUCGUUGUUUGUACUCCUGGCAGCGUUGGCGCAGAACAAGUGCACUGCUUUAGUGUGCUCUUGCUAUGUACCAUCAAGGAGUUUGGACAACAGGGGUGAAGAAAGCAAUAGAAGCAGCAAUAGCAACAACACCAAGAAGCAAUCCCCUGCAGAAAAGAAAGAUGGGGUCAUGGAAAAGCUCCAUAAUCAUAAUUACAACUUCAAAAUAAGAGCAAUGGGAGCAGCAACUGUAGGAGAAGUGGGACUAAAGGGCCUCAAAUUGAACGCCCUACACUCAAGAGUAAUCUCAAGAAAAUAACAAUAGUGGAUGUGGGUGAUAAUCAACAAAGGAUAGAAAAGAGGAAAGUUAGUUGGCCGGAUGCUCAUGGCAAAGAUAUUGCUCAUGUCCAAGAAUUUGAACCAAGUGUGUCAGAAGAUGGGGAACUUGAGGAAGUAAGGAACUCUUGUGUUUGUGCCAUUCAAUGAAACAAGGUGUCUAAGGUACGAUGCCCUGCUUCACAAUGAUCACCUGUGCAAGUUUCUAAAAACUCCAAUAAACAGUGUAUAAGUAUAUAAACCUCUUUUUUUUUUAAGUAUAUAAACCUCUGAAUGAUGCAUGAUUUUCGUACCAGUAUAAUGACCAUAUGAGGAGUUGACCUAAUAAUAUGAUUAUUUCAAAAUAAUUCUCAUGCUCAAAAGGUAUAUCUCUUGCUGAACCAUUUAAAUCAUGAAUCCUCAAAAGUUAUGAAUGGGGAAGGUACUAUCAACCAUGUAACAUUGGGAACCAUUCAGGGGUGCAUUAAUGGGGAAAAAGAAACAGUAAGUCUUGAUUGUCUAAACAAGUGUAUGGAACUUGAGGCACCAUGUAGAAGUAAUAAAACACAAUAUGUAGGGACUCAAAUGACACUUGAGCUACAGCCAGGGCACCUAUUUUUCUGUAGUCAUCAUAUCUCGGAAUAAAGAAAUAUGAUAGAUAUAAUGGGAAUAGCUUUUAGGAAGGUCAUGCUGCUCCUCAAUUGAAAUCACAACAAUAAAAAAUAAUUCACUAAAACAUAUGCAUAUAUAGGUUAUAAAGUGUUGCUGCAAGCCGGGGGAAGCAAACGAAUGCAAAUAUACAUCUAGAAAUAGUCUUAUAUUCUUGCAAAUGUUUCUAGUUUAUAAUGCUGAAUCAGUACUGUUGAUGAGUACGUACAGUUUGAAAACUUUCUACAUAUGACCCUAUGACAUUUCAAAUUAAGUGCCAUUCUUGGUUCUUAAAGGUUGCAGAUAGGUGAUUUGACUGCUUACUAGUUUCAAAAAAUAUUCCUUAUAUGCAUCUUACAUCAUAAAUCAUAAAUUUAUGAAAUGUGCAUGAAACUUCAUUACUGUAACACUUGUCACAAAGCGUAACUCGGGUUUUGGCAUAGGUAGCCAUGCAUACAGAAUCUCGAUCCUAGCUAGCUGUUAGCCAAGCUCAAAACACAGAUCGUAAUACUAGCGGCAUGUGCCACGUAUAUACGUUCAAAACGUAUACAUACGCAUGCACAUGUUAUUUCUAGCAGAUAUUUUAUAGAAUUUCCAUGAACUCAGUCAAUGAAAUAA